GACGAACGCUGGCGGCGUGCUUAACACAUGCCAGUCGAACGGAAAGGCCCUGCUUUUGUGGGGUGCUCGAGUGGCGAACGGGUGAGUAACACGUGAGUAUCCUGCCCUUGACUGUGGGAGAACUUCAGGAAACUGGGGCGAAUACCGGAUAGGAGCUCCUGCUGCAUGGUGGGGGAUGGAAAGAUCCGGCGGUUGGGGAUGGACUCGCAGGUUAUCAGCUUGUUGGUGAGGUAGGGGUUUACCAAGGCUUUGAAGGGUAGCCGGCCUGGGAGGGUGACCGGCCUCAUGGGGACUGCGGUAGGGCGCAGAAGCGUACCGGACGCAGCAGUGGGGAAUAUUGCGCAAUGGGCGGAAGCCUGAUGAAGAAACGCCGGGUGCGGGAUGACGGCCUUCGGGUUAUAAACCGCUUUCGACUGUAACGAAGCGUGAGUGACGGUAAUGGGUAAAGAAGCACCGGCUAACUACGUG
RNAcentral lists this ribosomal RNA (468 nucleotides) under uncultured bacterium. Its description in RNAcentral is "partial 16S ribosomal RNA". It matches the Rfam family "Bacterial small subunit ribosomal RNA", at positions 28 to 507 of the family's 1533-position model. The record is from RNAcentral.